RNAcentral lists this long non-coding RNA (2670 nucleotides) under Cucumis sativus (cucumber). RNAcentral describes it as "long non-coding RNA (CSAT_LNC002172)". Lineage: Eukaryota; Viridiplantae; Streptophyta; Magnoliopsida; Cucurbitales; Cucurbitaceae. The record is from RNAcentral.
UUUUUUUAGCAUGUUAUAAAAAGACAUUUACAUUUUUGUGAUUAUCUUUAAAAAAAAAUUAGAUUACAAUAAGCAAUAUAAAAAUAACAACAUUUGAACAAGUUUGAUCCAUUUUAAUAGGAAAGUUUACAAAAAAAAAACAGUAAACAAAAAUUUAGGAUAAUAGAAUCUAUGUCACUUGCAUUUUCAAAAUUGCAAAAAUAGCAAACUUAGACUCAUUUGAAUAUGGGAUCAUCUCACCCUUUCAACGAACUUAAAUCUUCCAAUUACAAGAAUAUUAGUGAACGUUAGUUAAGGCUUUUCAUAAGUGUGAGACUCACUCUCAAUAGUAAUAUUUCCAUUCUCUAGUGAAUAUCACUUCACUUGUUGAACUUAAACUCCCCUAUGUUUGAGAAUCCCUUCUCAAGCAAUGUUAUCUUCGGCUCCCCUAAAAUCAAGACAACAUUCACACAAAGUACAUUUCAACGACGAUCUCAAACACAUCUAUCUACAACAAAAUCAUCAUCACAAAGAUUGACAUAUACCAUCCAAUUACCACCGCCAAGAUGAAAAUUUUCCAUAAAAAUAGACUAAAAAGACUGAAAAAAAAUCUAGCUAGCAAGAUAACUUCUAACUCUUAAAUACUACAGCCCGAAGAUGGAAAACAACUUCAUUCUAAAGCAUAAACAAGGAAAGAAACCUUAAAAAAAAACUCAUAGUUGUUCAAAUUUAAGAAAAAAUAAAUCUGGAAGAGUAACAUGUUGAGAGACAUUAUCUUAUGAGACAUCGCUAAAACAAUCUAAGAACCAAACUCAAAAAACUUUCACCAAAUACAUAGCCAAUUCUAAAUAUCUAACAAUUGCAAAAUUAACUCUAAAUCUUUUUUAAAAAGUUUAAAAAUACUCCUAUACCAUCAAUAUGAUAAUGAUACAUUUAAAUAAUAAGAGAGAUUUAGUUACGGUAAAAAGAUUAUUAUUUGAGAUCCUAACAAGAAAACAACAUUCAAAUUUUACUUAUCAAAUUUAGAUGAAAAAAAUACACAAAACUUGUCAAAGAGAUUUUAAAGAACCAUAAAAUUGUGUUCCAUGCAUACACAUAAUUUUUUUUAUUUAAGAUGAUAUUUUCCUUCAAUCAAGAAAUCGACCAUGAAAAGGAAGUUUAUAAAAAUAACAAAAAUGAAAUUAUGAUAUUAGAGUUCAUCAUACUUACAUUUUCAAAAUUUCAGAAAUAACCAAUUUAAAAGCAGAUGAUCAUCUGAUUAUCAUUGAUUACCAUCAUAUUUACCAAAUUUGCAAUAUGAAAAAUAAAGGUGUUAUGAGUUUUUUUUUUUUUUUUUUGUCAUCUAAUGCUUCCCAUUAUGGAAUAUAUAUAUUUUUUCCCUUUAAUUCUUAAAUAAAAUCAUUAAAAAAACUACUCUAUUUUAUGUUAUUUUGUCACUUUUGUAUAAAUUAUAUUUUUUUAAAAAAAAUCCAAUCAUAUUAGUGGUCCAUUUGAAUUGAAUUAAAAAAAUGUUAUUCAAGAAACUAAUUUUUGUUUAAACUAUUUUUUAAAAAAUGGUUGAAAAUUAAUACACUUUAAAAUCUAUUUUGAGUGACUUCCAAACACUUUAGAUUUUUUUUAUCUAAAAUAACUUAUUUUAGAAAUUAAACACUUGAAGAUGUAAUCCAAACACACCAUAAAACUAUGUAUUUUGAUUUGAUUGAACUUUAUAUCUUUAUUUAUUGUGUUUAUAUCUUGAAAUUUUAUAUUUAACAUCCAAACAUAAAUUUUCAUAUAUGAUCAACAUUUGAUAAUUUUGUUUUUAGAUUGUUGGAAAAACAAAUGUUGAUCAUAGUUGUGUCGUGUCAAAACACUGCCCUAAAAGCAAAAAUCGGCGUGACAUCGAUGUUAAAUCGCUUAUGUUGAUUGCUCUCGAAUGUUAACAUAACUUUUCCAACUCAUGCGUGCACACGCUUGAGUUAAGAAUGGAAUCAAAAAGGAAAAUAAUUGCUCAAAGAAUCAGAGGAAAGAAUAGGAUUUUGCAAGAAGAAUAAUUGAACUCUUUAAUCAUAAUUCUUUACACAAUAUAUAUAUUGAUAGAACUAAGACAUGCACAGCGAAAAAAAGAAUCGAAUUUCUACACUAAUUGUCAUAAUUAACAUGUAACCCUAAAACAAUCAAAUUAGGGUUUUAGGAAAUAUUACCUUUGAAGCUUUCAAAAAAACUUCGAUACCUGCUUACCAAUUCAAACCGAUACCACCACUAACACUCAACUACUAUCCUCUGGAUAAACAACCGGGUUGUGGGACCCAAUUUGGUGUAGAAAGUAAUGGAGAUAAAAGGGGAUUGGAAGGUAGAAUGUUUUUUCCUUGGUUGAGAUAUUGGAGAAUGAUAAAAAAAAAGGCAAAAGUUUUCAAUCAUUUGAAAACACCCCUAUUUAUAACCUAAAUACAUGCAAAAAUGCAUGUAAUUAAUUGGUCAAAUCUCAACACCUAAUGUUCCACUAACAAUUAGUGGAACUUAGUGGGCUAGGUGUCUACAUCUCAUAUAGCCACAUAUCCCACUAAGAGUUAGUGGGAUUAUCCAACAAAAUGUUGGAUUUUCCCACUAACUUAGUCCAAGAGUAAAAUGGUCAUUAGAUAUUUCAAGUCAAAAGUCAAGCUUUGACUUUUCUAAGUCAAAAGUCAAUAUUUUGACUUUUACCAUUUUGUC